This 92-nucleotide transfer RNA is filed under the name Pyramidobacter piscolens W5455. RNAcentral's name for it is "tRNA-Ser". It matches the Rfam family "tRNA". From Rfam's summary of the family: Transfer RNA (tRNA) molecules are approximately 80 nucleotides in length. Their secondary structure includes four short double-helical elements and three loops (D, anti-codon, and T loops). The record is from RNAcentral. Lineage: Bacteria; Thermotogati; Synergistota; Synergistia; Synergistales; Dethiosulfovibrionaceae.
CGGAGGGAUGGCCGAGUGGUCGAAGGCAGCUGACUCGAAAUCAGCCAGGGGUUCACGCCCCUCGGGGGUUCAAAUCCUCUUCCCUCCGCCAU